GGAGGGGGCAAGCGUUGUCCGGACUUACUGGGCGUAAAGGGCGCGUAGGUGGCCUGGAACGUCGGUGCUGAAAGCGCCGGGCUUAACCCGGCGAGGCGUGCCGAUACGGCCAGGCUCGAGGCAGGGAGAGGGUAGCGGAAUUCCGGGUGUAGUGGUGAAAUGCGUAGAGAUCCGGAGGAACGCCGGUGGCGCAAGCGGCUACCUGGCCCUGACCUGACACUGAGGCGCGAAAGCGUGGGGAGCGAACCGGAUUAGAUACCCGGGUAGUCCACGCGGUAAACGAUGCCGGCUCGUUCUCUGGGCGCCUUUGGGUGCCUGGGGGGCUUAGCUCACGCGGUAAGCCGGCCGCCUGGGGAUUACGAGCGCAAGCUUAAA
This 375-nucleotide ribosomal RNA is filed under the name uncultured bacterium. Its description in RNAcentral is "bacterial SSU rRNA". It matches the Rfam family "Bacterial small subunit ribosomal RNA", at positions 527 to 898 of the family's 1533-position model. The record is from RNAcentral.